GAUGAACGCUGGCGGCGUGCCUAAUACAUGCAAGUCGAGCGAACGGGCGAGAAGCUUGCUUCUCUGAUGUUAGCGGCGGACGGGUGAGUAACACGUGGAUAACCUACCUAUAAGACUGGGAUAACUUCGGGAAACCGGAGCUAAUACCGGAUGAUAUUUUGAACCGCAUGGUUCAAAAGUGAAAGACGGUCUUGCUGUCACUUAUAGAUGGAUCCGCGCUGCAUUAGCUAGUUGGUAAGGUAACGGCUUACCAAGGCAACGAUGCAUAGCCGACCUGAGAGGGUGAUCGGCCACACUGGAACUGAGACACGGUCCAGACUCCUACGGGAGGCAGCAGUAGGGAAUCUUCCGCAAUGGGCGAGAGCCUGACGGAGCAACGCCGCGUGAGUGAUGAAGGUCUUCGGAUCGUAAAACUCUGUUAUUAGGGAAGAACAUAUGUGUAAGUAACUGUGCACAUCUUGACGGUACCUAAUCAGAAAGCCACGGCUAACUACGUG
Molecule: ribosomal RNA, 497 nt
Filed under: uncultured bacterium
Lineage: Bacteria
Description: partial 16S ribosomal RNA
Rfam family: Bacterial small subunit ribosomal RNA
Source: RNAcentral